CCUGCCAGUAGUCAUAUGCUUGUCUCAAAAGAUUAAGCCAUGCAUGUCUAAGUAUAAACAACUUUAUACUGUGAAACUGCAGAUGGCUCAUUAAAUCAGUUUAUAAUUUAUUUGAUGAUCAACUUACUACAUGGAUAACCGUAGUAAUUCUAGAGCUAAUACAUGCGCAAAGUCCCGACUCUUGCGGGGAGGGAUGUAUUUAUUAGAUAAAAAACCAAUGCGGGGUCUCGGCCCCGGUGUUGCGGUGAUUCAUAAUAACUUGUCGGAUCGCAUGGCCUCGCGCCGGCGACAGUUCAUUCAAAUUUCUGCCCUAUCAGCUUUCGACGGUAGUGUAGUGGACUACCGUGGCGUUAACGGGUGACGGAGAAUUAGGGUUCGGUUCCGGAGAGGGAGCCUGAGAAAUGGCUACCACAUCCA
RNAcentral lists this ribosomal RNA (417 nucleotides) under uncultured eukaryote. RNAcentral's name for it is "bacterial SSU rRNA". It matches the Rfam family "Eukaryotic small subunit ribosomal RNA", at positions 13 to 418 of the family's 1831-position model. The record is from RNAcentral.